Molecule: ribosomal RNA, 463 nt
Filed under: uncultured Pelotomaculum sp.
Lineage: Bacteria; Bacillati; Bacillota; Clostridia; Eubacteriales; Desulfotomaculaceae
Description: bacterial SSU rRNA
Rfam family: Bacterial small subunit ribosomal RNA
Source: RNAcentral
CCCGCACAAGCAGCGGAGCAUGUGGUUUAAUUCGAUGAUACGCGAAGAACCUUACCGGGGUUUGACAUGCAGGUGAUCGCCGUUGAAAGACGGUUUCCUCUUCGGAGGCACCUGCACAGGUGCUGCAUGGCUGUCGUCAGCUCGUGUCAUGAGAUGUUGGGUUAAGUCCCGCAACGAGCGCAACCCCUACGUUUAGUUGCUAACGCGUGAAGGCGAGCACUCUAGACGAACUGCCGUUGACAAAACGGAGGAAGGUGGGAUGACGUCAAAUCAUCAUGCCCCUUAUGUUCUGGGCUACACACGUGCUACAAUGGCCGGUACAGACGGACGCAAAGCCGCGAGGCGGAGCAAAUCCGAAAAAGCCGGUCUCAGUUCGGAUUGCAGGCUGCAAUUCGCCUGCAUGAAGUCGGAAUCGCUAGUAAUCGCAGGUCAGCAUACUGCGGUGAAUACGUUCCCGGGCCUU